GUGCCAGCAGCCGCGGUAAUACGUAGGUGGCAAGCGUUGUCCGGAAUUAUUGGGCGUAAAGCGCGCGCAGGCGGUCCUUUAAGUCUGAUGUGAAAGCCCACGGCUCAACCGUGGAGGGUCAUUGGAAACUGGGGGACUUGAGUGCAGAAGAGGAAAGUGGAAUUCCACGUGUAGCGGUGAAAUGCGUAGAGAUGUGGAGGAACACCAGUGGCGAAGGCGACUUUCUGGUCUGUAACUGACGCUGAGGCGCGAAAGCGUGGGGAGCAAACAGGAUUAGAUACCCUGGUAGUUCA
This 293-nucleotide ribosomal RNA is filed under the name uncultured microorganism. Its description in RNAcentral is "partial 16S ribosomal RNA". It matches the Rfam family "Bacterial small subunit ribosomal RNA", at positions 505 to 797 of the family's 1533-position model. The record is from RNAcentral.